Molecule: long non-coding RNA, 270 nt
Filed under: Physcomitrium patens
Lineage: Eukaryota; Viridiplantae; Streptophyta; Bryopsida; Funariales; Funariaceae
Description: long non-coding RNA (PPAT_LNC008594)
Source: RNAcentral
CACAUCAACCUUAAACUAUCAAUGAUUACCAACUAGCUACACCAAAUAGAUUCAAAGUGUAACUAUGGAAUCCUAUAUUUAUCAAAUAACAAGAAUAUUAUAAAACAAUUAUCUUUAAUACAAUAACAAUGUUGUAAAACAAUCCUCUUUAAUGCAAUAACAAUAUUAUAAAACAAUCCUCUUUAAUACAAUAACAAUAACAAAUCCUUCAAACCAAUGCAGGACUUAAAAAACAGAGACACAAAAGCUCCACGAGCGUUGCAAACAUGA